Molecule: unclassified non-coding RNA, 333 nt
Filed under: soil metagenome
Description: partial contains 5.8S ribosomal RNA, internal transcribed spacer 2, and large subunit ribosomal RNA
Rfam family: 5.8S ribosomal RNA (bases 1-120)
Source: RNAcentral
GAUGAAGAACGCAGCAAAAUGCGAUAAGUAAUGUGAAUUGCAGAAUUCAGUGAAUCAUCGAAUCUUUGAACGCACAUUGCGCCCGCUGGUAUUCCGGCGGGCAUGCCUGUUCGAGCGUCAUUUCAACCAUCAAGCCCUAGGCUUGCGUUGGAGCCCUGCGGCUGCCGCAGGCCCCUAAAAGCAGUGGCGGGCUCGCUAUCACACCGAGUGCAGUAGAUUACUCUUCGCUCAGGGCGUGUGGCGGGUUCCAGCCGUGAAACCCCUACUUCUCAAGGUUGACCUCGGAUCAGGUAGGAAUACCCGCUGAACUUAAGCAUAUCAAUAAGCGGAGGA